CGUAGGACGCAAGCGUUAUCCGGAGUUACUGGGCGUAAAGCGCGGGCAGGCGGUUCGAUGCGUCUGAUGUGAAAGCGCCCCGCUAAACGGGGCGAGGCCAUUGGAAACGGUCGGACUGGAGGGCAGUAGAGGCAGGCGGAAUUCCGGGUGGAGUGGUGAAAUGCGUAGAGAUCCGGAGGAACACCAGAGGCGAAGGCGGCCUGCUGGGCUGCACCUGACGCUGAGCCGCGAAAGCCAGGGGAGCGAACGGGAUUAGAAACCCCGGUAGUCCUGGCCGUAAACGAUGUGUGCUGGAUGAUGGCCCGAACGGGUCGUUGUCGAAGCCAACGCGAUAAGCACACCGCCUGGGGAGUACGGUCGCAAGGCUA
This 368-nucleotide ribosomal RNA is filed under the name uncultured organism. RNAcentral's name for it is "bacterial SSU rRNA". It matches the Rfam family "Bacterial small subunit ribosomal RNA", at positions 526 to 896 of the family's 1533-position model. The record is from RNAcentral.